Long non-coding RNA from Gallus gallus (chicken), 4042 nucleotides. RefSeq lists it as uncharacterized. The record is from RefSeq and is a predicted model, not a curated record. Lineage: Eukaryota; Metazoa; Chordata; Aves; Galliformes; Phasianidae. The transcript is spliced from 2 exons.
UCUGAGAAGACACCAAAAGCCUCUUUAGAAGAGUGGGUCAUGCUUUGUACCAUGUGCCCUGCUCCUACCAGGACCCCUGAGGUCUGAUUCAAGGUCCACUGCAGCCAGCAGGAGAAGAGGAGAAAGCAGGAGGUCCAAACACCUUGGAGUUCUUGUUAGGACUUGAGAGCUGAUGGUAUGAUAGUAUUGCAGAUUGCAGGAUACCCUACCUCAGCCCUGGUCACAAGGAUGCGAAUCAAGGUAUCUUCAUCAGUCCCAGCUCCUUUCAUUGACUCGUGCAGAAGUGUAGCAAAGUAACCUGGACAGUCUUUGGCACAGCUGACUGAAGAAUAGUAAGAGACUUCAUUACACUUACAUAUUUACACUUUGUAUUACGUCUUCAGUGAGAAGGAAAUAAGUAAGGAAGAAAUACAGAAAACUCUCUAGUGUUAUAAUCAUGUAGACAUAUGAACUGGGAGGGUUUUUAUUUUAUAACUAGCUCCCAGGAGCGAGUCUGGAAUCUGAAUGGAGUCACACAUUUCUCCAGGGGGAAAGUUUAUUACACAGAUCAACACUGACUCCACUGCUACUCCACAGUGAAAAUGAAAUGAAUGGGGAUGAGCAUUUGCCCAUCUGGAGUUCUCCUUGAUGAUAUAUUUACUGUGUCCAGGCCUGGGACACCCGACACAAGAAAAACGUGGAGCCAUUGUUAUGGGUCCAGAGGAGGCUAAGGAGAUGAUGAAAGGGCUGGAGCACAUCUUUUAUGAAGAAAGGUAGAGGGAGCUGGACUUGUUUAGCUUGGAGAAGGUUCUAGGGAGACCUCACUGCAGACUUCUAGUACUUGGGGGGGGAGCUCAUAAACAGGAGGGAGACCAACAUUUACACAAUCUGAUAGCGAUAGGACAAGGGUGAAUAGCUUUAAACUAAAAGAGGUGAGAUUUAGGUUCAAUCUUAGUAAGAAUUUUUUUACUCAGAGGGUGGUGAGGCCCUGGCACAGGCUGAUCACAGAAGCUAUGGGUGCUCCAUCCCUGGAGGUGUUCAAGACCAGGUUGGAUGGGGCCCUGGGCAGCCUGAGCUGAUGGGAGGCAACCCUGCCCAUGGCAGGGAGUUGGGACUGGAUGUUCUUUAAAGUUCUUUCAAACACAAGCCAUUCUAUGAUUUUAUGACUCUAUGAUAUAUUCUUAUGGUACUUACUCACCUGCAGCUUAGAGGGGCAAGAUCUGGGAGAGCCCAGAUCCACACAGAUAAAAUCAAUACCAGUAAGCUAAUGAGAUCCAGGGUACAGGUGUAAAAACUGGUCACAGUCAUCCCCAGUGCUAAAUGGCCAAUAGGGACCUGUACGUUUUUGCAGUAGCAUUGUAGCACACUGCUGAUGAUGCCCAGGCUGGAAGUUAUUCACAAUCAUGGCCUCAGGGGCAUUUUAGAGAGCAAAUAAUACAGCCAUGGGGAGGAGCUGUAUCUGGAAAGAUUUAUUUUUAAAAUCAGGGGCUCCACAUCACUACUGAAACCUGUCUCUCCUUUUCCUAGCAGAUAGGUCAGCUUCAGUUUAGGGCUACCUCAGUAACUGUCACCAGACUGUUCAAAGAACUCCCAAGAACUAAUGUCACAGGAGGGUAAGAACUAGAAAAGAAAGGUCUUAAUGCUUUUUUUUUUUUUUUUACCAAGAGUGAGAUAAGCUUUCUCCAGAUCUCCUGAUGUUUCACUUUUAAUGGAUUCUUCUAUGUCUUUUCCACACAUCUACAAGGACAACAAAACAUAGCUAUAAGAGUUGCUCCCUGCACACGUCAUAGCACUGCCAUAAAACCCACCUCAUGUUUAGGAUCCAAUGGCAAAAGCCAAAUUCACAUCCUUUCAGCUCUUUACAAAGGAGUAAUUCAUGGACAAAUGAAGCUUUUCUCUGGUUUAAGUGCUCACAGAUCCACUGGCACCAAGAAAACAGGGCCUACAAGGCCUGGUAAGGCACAGCGGCUAGGAGAUGGAUAACAUCAAUCAAGCAGCUGUGCUCAUAUCAGAGGGCUUCUAGAACAAAGAAGCUUCAGCUUCUUGAGUGACCCCGAGUCUAGGAAAAAGUCUCUGAGUUCCCUCUAAUCCUUUUAUCAAGGCUCUGGAUAGUUUCCACACAAAGAAGAUAAAUUUUGGAGCUUUACCAGCUCUGUGAAGUUUUGUUACUUAUUGUCUUUGGCUUCCCAGGGAAAGUUUACAAGCACUUCAGUUGUUCCCAAGUUUUUGUAUUAUUCUGUAGAGAAGGGGAAAAAGAGACUGCCACUUCAGAACAUAGUUCAUUUUGACCUAGUGAAUUUUCUGAACCUCAAAGCCUUUUACUUUGCUUUGUUUUGCUAUCUGGAUGGCUCUGCAUGUUUCAAAAAUCCAGUGGACUUUAGUUCAGAUCUAGGAGAACACAAAUACAAGACAGAAAUGGGUACCUUGUGAGGUUCUGAAAACCCAGUUUCAUAUUGAUCUGUACUUAUCUUUCCAAAAGUGAAGAAGGACUGAUGUUUGCAUGGCUCUAAUCUGGGUCCCCUUCCUCAUAUACAGACAGACAAGAUGUGGUAGAUUGGUUUGGGCAAUAUGAUCUUCUUGGCUUUUGGAAUCAAAAAGUGAAGGUAGCUUUGAACCCCCAGGGUAUGGGCAUCUCCGAGGGAGUAUCAAUUAGUGACUGGUUUUGUUCUGCCAGCAACAAACCAAAAGUUGGAUUAAGGUUCAGACAUUUUUCCAACUAAGGAUUCCUUAUUAUGAUGACAUUGAAAGAAGACUGUGACUGAAGGUCUUCUAUCUUCAGUGCUUAGGGUCACAGUUUUCUGAUGAACUCGGAGUCAUCCUAGCGAAGCUUGGGUUUCUGAGCCAGAGGCUGGAGAGGAGCCCUCUCCAAAGAGCAAACAUCACUGCUGAGCUUCCACCUAGCUGCUGGGAGAAGAAUGUUGCAUCUUCCUUUGCUUGAGCUUUCACAGGUCAAAUAAACAGCCAAGAUUCUGCUUCUUACUUUGUCUUUUGCUUGGGGGUAGAGGAGAGCGCAGCAAAGUACCUGCUGUCUGCUCAGAGGAGGCUGGAGAUGCACCUCUGUCCUAAAUGAAGGGCUGUGGAUGAGUGCAAUGGCGAGGAUGGGAAUAGGCACCCCUAGACACACCAAGGUCUCAUGAGUAAGCCAGGGACAGACCCAGCAUGCAUUCACCCAGCUGUGUGCCACCUCACUGCCCCAGAAUGGUCAACCCUCCCGCUGCAGGAACGGGCACACUCAUCAUCAUGCAGCUGUGGGACAUCACAACUUUUGUUUGGUUGGAUGCUGUGUGGUUUAUGAAAGGCAAUAUCCUCUGCUUAACUGGCAGCCGAUACAGCUUUUUCUCUCUGUAAGAUCAGGAUCCGGUCAUACAGAAAUAAUUUCCAAAUUCCUUUUAAAAUAGCAAAUAAAGGAUCACCUUCUCUACACGUCGUUACAGGGUCUGCAAGCUAAACAUUACAUCCUGUACAACCCACAUCACAGAAGGGAAUGACUCACCUUUUCGUAGGCCUGAAAAGUUGCUCUCAGCUGACUGUAGCUUCUCUUUGCUAAGACAACAUUGAAAGCCAGCUCCUCUGUUCCCCAGCGGCCUUCUCCUGCCUUAGAUAUUGCAUGUUAAUUUUUGGAUGCACUUGUUUAUUGCCACAUGCUCAGUGCAUUUUGUCACCAUCUCAUUGCUGAGCAGCACCAGAUAAUUCUUGUUUUUCUUUCUUUCUGUAGUUUCACUUACUUUAUACAGAUCUGAGGCAUCCUGCUCAGCAAGCUCUGUGUUGACCUGCUGGUUCUCAUCUCGGGUUGCCUACAGAAAAGGACAUUACAGUGGAAAAAGAGACUCAAGUGCUGGUUAGUUUGUAGUGAAGGGGAAGAUGGUCAUUUAGUGGCCUUCGCAAACAUUUUGGUUGUAGUUUUGCUGCCACCUGCUGACAACUGCUUAGUAAUGGGCCACUGUACAGCACAGAAUUGAAUGGUCCAAGUUUAGCACAGACUUGAGGUGAAGCCUGCACAUUAAUUAUCGCUGUGUACUCCCUGAGAGCUGUGAAAUAUUCCUCAAUAAAUUGAUAUAAUGCA